RNAcentral lists this long non-coding RNA (564 nucleotides) under Marmota monax (woodchuck). Lineage: Eukaryota; Metazoa; Chordata; Mammalia; Rodentia; Sciuridae. The record is from RNAcentral.
GGAUAGUAGAGGAUAGGAAAGGUAGCAGAACACGACAGUCACUAGUAUGGCAAUAUGUAAAUCAAUGGAUGUGUAAUUGAUGUGAUUCUGCAAUGUGUAUAUGGGCUAAAAAUGGGAGUUCAUAACGCACUUGAAGCAAAGUGUGAAAGAUGAUAUAUCAAGAACUAUGUAAUGUUUUGAACAACCAACAAUAAAAAAUAAUAAAUAAAAAUAAAAAGUUUUCACUUUUAAAGUACCUGUAAAAUAAUGAUGAAAUUUUGGCAGGUAUGAUGGUGUGCACCUCUUUUGGGCAGAAGGCCAAUGCAGGGGGAUCUCAAGUUCAAGGCCAGGCUGGGAAAUUUAGAGAGACCCCCAUCUCAAAAUAAAAAAUAAAAAGGGCCAGGAAUGUAGCUCAGGGAUAAAGUGCCCCCAUUGCUCAGUCCCUAGUAUGACUAAAUAAAUAAAUACAUAAAUAUGUUGGUGAGUUUGAAAUGUGAAUGUAAUGAAUGGAGUAUGAAUAUAUUUUGAAAAUUUGAAGUAUUCUAGCAUUUUGAAUAGUUGUUAAUCUUUUAGAAUGAAUAAAUC